GGCCAUGUUGGUUAACAGAUCCUCAUCUGCUGGACGCCUGGCGAUGAUCUUUAUCGGUUGUCGUCAGUUGCCAGCACGUUUACUUUGAGAAAAUUAGAGUGCUAAAAGCAGGCUCACGCCUAUAUAUAUUGCAUGGAAUAAUGAAAUAAGAUCUCGAUUUUAUUUCGUUGGUUUUAGAAAUUGAGAUAAUGAUUAAUAGGAUCAGAGGGGGGCGUACGUACUGUGGUGUGAGAGGUGAAAUUCUUGGAUCGCCACAGGACGAACAGCAGCGAAGGCGUUCGCCAAGAAUGUUUUCAUUAAUCAAGAACGAAAGUUUGAGGUUCGAAGACGAUUAGAUACCGUCCUAGUUCAAACCAUAAACGUUGCCAACUGUCUUUUAGAUGCGGUUAUUUAUAUGACUCAUCUGGCGGAUCUCGAGAAAUCUAAGUUUUUAGGUUCCGGGGGAAGUAUGGUUGCAAAGCUGAAACUUAAAAGAAUUGACGGAAGGACACACAAGAAGUGGAGCCUGUGGCCUAAUUUGACUCAACACGGGAAACCUUACUCGGCCAGGACACUUUUAGGAUUGACAGAUUGAGAGCUCUUUCUUGAUUAGGUGGGUGGUGGUGCAUGGUCGUUCGUAGUUCGUGGAGCGAUUUGUCUGAUUAAUUUCGAUAACGAACGAGACUCCGGCUUACUAAAUAGUCUAAAGUUCGAAGGGACUUUUCAAGACUUCUUAGCAGGAUAAGUGG
Molecule: ribosomal RNA, 728 nt
Filed under: uncultured eukaryote
Lineage: Eukaryota
Description: SSU rRNA
Rfam family: Eukaryotic small subunit ribosomal RNA
Source: RNAcentral